GGAGAUGUGGCUGAGUGGUUGAAGGCACCGCACUCGAAAUGCGGCAUACGGGAAACCGUAUCGUGAGUUCAAAUCUCACCAUCUCCGCCU
This 90-nucleotide transfer RNA is filed under the name Candidatus Nomurabacteria bacterium CG1_02_43_90. RNAcentral's name for it is "tRNA-Ser". It matches the Rfam family "tRNA". From Rfam's summary of the family: Transfer RNA (tRNA) molecules are approximately 80 nucleotides in length. Their secondary structure includes four short double-helical elements and three loops (D, anti-codon, and T loops). The record is from RNAcentral. Lineage: Bacteria; Candidatus Nomuraibacteriota.